AAGAGCACGUUUCUGUGUCUUAUUCGUAGGGUUAUAACCUUUGUUUUUUAUUAUGUAACGGCCAUGAUUAUUGCUUCUUCCUUCCUACAUCUCUCUCUCUCUCUCUGGGUUUGGAAUCGAUGGGAUCACCGGGUUUCUUUGUGAUAUGUCUUCUAUGGAUCUCACCUGUGGAGCUUUGAUGGUGUUUUACAAUAACGAGAUCUCUGUGUUUCGACACGGGACUGAGACAGCGAGUAAGCUUUUGGGUUCAACGCCUCAUGAUCAGCUCCUGAUUAAGACAUCUGAUUCGUUUGCUGGCUUGUUGUUGUUUGCGAUCAGGUUUCUUCUGUUCAUGGUAGCGUUUGUUAAGGAGAGGGAGUUCCAGAGCUUCUUCGCUAAGGGGUGCGUGCUUCUUCAUGUUUCCAUGGCUCGAAGAUCUCGCUCACGAUUGGCCGAGGCAGGCCGUUGGGGAUAUUGUAUUGGCACUUUCCUGAGUUUUCUUCCUUGUUUACUCGUGGGGGGAGAAGUAUGGUUAACUUGAUGCGGGGAAUCAUGGUUUCCUUCUGCUAUCGGCACUUCUGCUGAAAUGCAUUGCUGAACGAAGAUAAAUCGAUUGCUACCUCUGGUGCUUAAUCGUGCUGUAGGAGAUGGUGAAAUUGGAGUUGGAGUCGAAAUGGUGUAGAAUUACUGGUUUCCUGAAGUGUGGCUCUCGGAUUUGCACUGUAAGAUAUAUCUGGUUGGGAGUUGAAUCGUAUGUUCUUAAACAAAUUAGACACUGAGCAGAGUUCGAGUUUGGGUUAGUAUGUUUGCCUGAAUUCUGUUCAGAGUUUCGAUGUGCUUAUUUCCUUUCCCCACUUCGAACAUAUGUGAGAGGCUGUCUAUCAUUCUUCCUUGUAAAUUUCCUUAGAAUUAAUAAUAAUGAAAUUAUCUUACCUCUUCCUCUUAGCUUUAGGUGAUAUGGUGCUGACUUGUGUUGUCUCUGGUUCAUGUUUAUCGGGUUUUGGUGAUCAGUCGAAUAAUUUCAAAUGUUAAAUGUAUCCAAAAGUAAAGAAAAGCGAUCAGUGAGCUAAGAAGAGGGGAAGAGUACUUUGGAGAUGCACUAGUGCGGCUGUGGACUAUUUGGGAAGAAAGGAAUGCAAAGAUCUUUUGUGAGAAGGAAAGAAGUGUAGAAAUAGCGAAAGGGUGUAUAGUGGUAAGGUAAUACAUGGGUGAAAACCUUGGACUUAUUUUUUCAAUUUUCCUUUGAUGACAUAUGGAGGAAUUUGGGCCAGGUGGCUGCUAGUUCAACCAGAAGGAAUAUAACUGCUGUUUCUUGGACUCCUGAGAAUGAAUACUUAAAGCUUAAUUUUGAUCGAGGUAGCCUUGGAAAUACAGGCCCAUCCGUGAUAGGGGGGUUUUUAGGAACAAAGAUGGACAAGUGGUAGCUCUGUUUUCUGGACCAGCAGGUGUAGGUGACUCAAAAAGAGAUGAGAUGUUAGCGGUUGUCCAAGUUUUGCAGAUAGCAAGACCGUUAAAUUUGAACAGGAUUGUUCUGGAAGGGGACUCCAAGAUAGUAGCGGGCUGGUUACAAAACCCAGAGACGAUUAUUUGGAAAUUCAGGGAUUAGCUGAAGAAGAUUAAGUCGCUCACUGCUAACCUAUCAGUGAUGUUUCACUGGCAGAGGAUAUUGGCCGACUUUCUAGCCAAGCAAGGGGUUAAUAGGGAUCAGCUUUUCUGGGCUCAGUUGUAAUUUUUUCCUCUUUCUUCUUUGCUGCUGGUUGAGGUGAAUCUCUCACCUCUCCCCCAAAGAGGGACAUGAUAGGAAAAGAACACAGUUAUUUUGGAGGUUGAGGCACACACAACACAACCUGUGCAUGCACAAAAACAUGCCAUUGGGUGUAUGCGCAUGUAGGAGGGAGAUAUGUAGCUGGAAUUUGAGAAGUAGAGAGCUUGCUUUUUGCAUGUAUCAGCCAAUGUUUGAAAAUGCAAAGGUGUGAAAUGAGGUGUUCCACUUUCCUAAGAGAUGAAAUGUAAACCAGAAUGCAAGAAGAACAAUUCUCCUGAAUAUGGAAUUUUUUCCUUGCAAGUUUGCUUGAGGUUUCUUUCUUAUGCGUCUAACCCUGAGGGCCUUAUAAAGUUCAGCUAUGCUGCAAUUUGGUACUAUUUAGCAUUUUGGAUGUACUAACUUUCCAGUUUCUUACUCCUAGGCAACAAGUUACUUUGAGGAAACUAUGCUUGAAAGUGUUUGGAGACGAAUAUAUUAAUUUCUAGGGCAUAAAUACAGUUUCCCUUGUUGCUUUUUUUGGUACAAAUUGCUGGUAACUUUCUAGUAGUUACAUAUUUGUGCUGCACAACAAUACCGGUAGACCAAUAAAA
Long non-coding RNA from Nelumbo nucifera (sacred lotus), 2334 nucleotides. RefSeq lists it as uncharacterized. NCBI's taxonomy places the organism in Eukaryota, Viridiplantae, Streptophyta, Magnoliopsida, Proteales, Nelumbonaceae. The record is from RefSeq and is a predicted model, not a curated record.